Molecule: RNA transcript, 321 nt
Organism: Odobenus rosmarus divergens (Pacific walrus)
Lineage: Eukaryota; Metazoa; Chordata; Mammalia; Carnivora; Odobenidae
Gene name: cytochrome c oxidase assembly protein COX16 homolog, mitochondrial-like
Exons: 1
Source: RefSeq, a predicted model, not a curated record
AUGUCUGUACGUGCGGUGAUGCGCGCCUUGUGCAAGAACAAGAUGCUUUGCUACGGAGUCCUCAUGCUAUUGCUGAUUGUUGGAGGUUCUUUUGGUCUUUGUGAAUUUUCACAAAUCCGCUAUGAUGCUGUGAAAAUUAAGAUUGAUCCUGAAUUAGAAAAAAAACUGAAAAUGAAUAAAGUAUCAUUGGAAUCAGAGCAUGAGAAAAUAAAGGAUUCUGCUUUUGAUGACUGGAAGAAUAUUCGAGGACCCAGACCUUGGGAAGAUCCUGACCUCCUCCAAGGAUGAAAUCCAGAAAUUCUUAAGACUAAGACAACUUGA